This 1372-nucleotide ribosomal RNA is filed under the name uncultured bacterium. RNAcentral's name for it is "bacterial SSU rRNA". It matches the Rfam family "Bacterial small subunit ribosomal RNA", at positions 28 to 1381 of the family's 1533-position model. The record is from RNAcentral.
GAUGAACGCUGGCGGCGUGCCUAAUACAUGCAAGUCGAGCGAACGGACGAGAAGCUUGCUUCUCUGAUGUUAGCGGCGGACGGGUGAGUAACACGUGGAUAACCUACCUAUAAGACUGGGAUAACUUCGGGAAACCGGAGCUAAUACCGGAUAAUAUUUUGAACCGCAUGGUUCAAAAGUGAAAGACGGUCUUGCUGUCACUUAUAGAUGGAUCCGCGCUGCAUUAGCUAGUUGGUAAGGUAACGGCUUACCAAGGCAACGAUGCAUAGCCGACCUGAGAGGGUGAUCGGCCACACUGGAACUGAGACACGGUCCAGACUCCUACGGGAGGCAGCAGUAGGGAAUCUUCCGCAAUGGGCGAAAGCCUGACGGAGCAACGCCGCGUGAGUGAUGAAGGUCUUCGGAUCGUAAAACUCUGUUAUUAGGGAAGAACAUAUGUGUAAGUAACUGUGCACAUCUUGACGGUACCUAAUCAGAAAGCCACGGCUAACUACGUGCCAGCAGCCGCGGUAAUACGUAGGUGGCAAGCGUUAUCCGGAAUUAUUGGGCGUAAAGCGCGCGUAGGCGGUUUUUUAAGUCUGAUGUGAAAGCCCACGGCUCAUUCGUGGAGGGUCAUUGGAAACUGGAAAACUUGAGUGCAGAAGAGGAAAGUGGAAUUCCAUGUGUAGCGGUGAAAUGCGCAGAGAUAUGGAGGAACACCAGUGGCGAAGGCGACUUUCUGGUCUGUAACUGACGCUGAUGUGCGAAAGCGUGGGGAUCAAACAGGAUUAGAUACCCUGGUAGUCCACGCCGUAAACGAUGAGUGCUAAGUGUUAGGGGGUUUCCGCCCCUUAGUGCUGCAGCUAACGCAUUAAGCACUCCGCCUGGGGAGUACGACCGCAAGGUUGAAACUCAAAGGAAUUGACGGGGACCCGCACAAGCGGUGGAGCAUGUGGUUUAAUUCGAAGCAACGCGAAGAACCUUACCAAAUCUUGACAUCCUUUGACAACUCUAGAGAUAGAGCCUUCCCCUUCGGGGGACAAAGUGACAGGUGGUGCAUGGUUGUCGUCAGCUCGUGUCGUGAGAUGUUGGGUUAAGUCCCGCAACGAGCGCAACCCUUAAGCUUAGUUGCCAUCAUUAAGUUGGGCACUCUAAGUUGACUGCCGGUGACAAACCGGAGGAAGGUGGGGAUGACGUCAAAUCAUCAUGCCCCUUAUGAUUUGGGCUACACACGUGCUACAAUGGACAAUACAAAGGGCAGCGAAACCGCGAGGUCAAGCAAAUCCCAUAAAGUUGUUCUCAGUUCGGAUUGUAGUCUGCAACUCGACUACAUGAAGCUGGAAUCGCUAGUAAUCGUAGAUCAGCAUGCUACGGUGAAUACGUUCCCGGGUCU